Molecule: ribosomal RNA, 456 nt
Filed under: Triticum aestivum (bread wheat)
Lineage: Eukaryota; Viridiplantae; Streptophyta; Magnoliopsida; Poales; Poaceae
Description: partial small subunit ribosomal RNA
Source: RNAcentral
AUGGAACCUCUUGUUGGAUAUUCACCAGAUAAAAGUCAAAAUAUGGUUCUUAUGGGCGGUUUAAGAAAAUACAUUCCAAUCACAAGAACUACUUUUUUAUGGGGUACACUUUCUCUUUGUGGUAUUCCACCUCUUGCUUGCUUCUGGUCCAAAGAUGGAAUCCUUAGUAAUAGUUGGUUGUAUUCGCCCUUUUUUGGAAUAAUAGCCUCCUUUACUGCAGGAUUAACUGCCUUUUAUAUGUUUCGGAUAUAUUUACUUACAUUUGAUGGGUAUUUGCGUGUUCAUUUUCAAAAUUACAGUAGCACUAAAGAGAGUUCCUUGUAUUCAAUAUCCUUAUGGGGAAAAAGGAUACCCAAAGGAGUGAAUAGGGAUUUCGUUUUAUCAACAACGAAGAGUGGAGUUUCUUUUUUUCACAAAAUAUACCAAAAAUUCAAGGUAAUACAAGAAAUAGGAUAG